GACGAACGCUGGCGGCGUGCUUAACACAUGCAAGUCGAGCGGUAAGGCCCUUUCGGGGGUACGACGAGCGGCGAACGGGUGAGUAACACGUGGGUGACCUGCCCUCAGCUCUGGGAUAAGCCUGGGAAACCGGGUCUAAUACCGGAUAUGACUCCAUGACGCAUGUUGUGGGGUGGAAAGCCUUGUGCGGCUGAGGAUGGGCCCGCGGCCUAUCAGCUUGUUGGUGGGGUGAUGGCCUACCAAGGCGACGACGGUAGCCGGCCUGAGAGGGCGACCGGCCACACUGGGACUGAGACACGGCCCAGACUCCUACGGGAGGCAGCAGUGGGGAAUCUUGCGCAAUGGGCGAAAGCCUGACGCAGCGACGCCGCGUGAGGAUGACGGCC
RNAcentral lists this ribosomal RNA (386 nucleotides) under uncultured bacterium. Its description in RNAcentral is "bacterial SSU rRNA". It matches the Rfam family "Bacterial small subunit ribosomal RNA", at positions 28 to 416 of the family's 1533-position model. The record is from RNAcentral.